Molecule: ribosomal RNA, 434 nt
Filed under: uncultured bacterium
Lineage: Bacteria
Description: partial 16S ribosomal RNA
Rfam family: Bacterial small subunit ribosomal RNA
Source: RNAcentral
AGCGAACGCUGGCGGCAGGCCUAACACAUGCAAGUCGAACGAACCUUUCGGGGUUAGUGGCGGACGGGUGAGUAACACGUGGGAACGUGCCUUUAGGUUCGGAAUAACUCAGGGAAACUUGUGCUAAUACCGAAUGUGCCCUUCGGGGGAAAGAUUUAUCGCCUUUAGAGGGGCCCGCGUCUGAUUAGCUAGUUGGUUGAGGUAAUGGCUCACCAAGGCGACGAUCAGUAGCCGGUCUGAGAGGAUGAUCAGCCACAUUGGGACUGAGACACGGCCCAAACUCCUACGGGAGGCAGCAGUGGGGAAUCUUGCGCAAUGGGCGAAAGCCUGACGCAGCCAUGCCGCGUGAAUGAUGAAGGUCUUAGGAUUGUAAAAUUCUUUCACCGGGGACGAUAAUGACGGUACCCGGAGAAGAAGCCCCGGCUAACUUCGUG